CGCACGGGUGAGUAACACGUAUCCAACCUGCCGUCUACUCUUGGACAGCCUUCUGAAAGGAAGAUUAAUACAAGAUGGCAUCAUGAGUUCACAUGUUCACAUGAUUAAAGGUAUUCCGGUAGACGAUGGGGAUGCGUUCCAUUAGAUAGUAGGCGGGGUAACGGCCCACCUAGUCUUCGAUGGAUAGGGGUUCCGAGAGGAAGGUCCCCCACAUUGGAACUGAGACACGGUCCAA
This 235-nucleotide ribosomal RNA is filed under the name uncultured bacterium. RNAcentral describes it as "partial 16S ribosomal RNA". It matches the Rfam family "Bacterial small subunit ribosomal RNA", at positions 99 to 334 of the family's 1533-position model. The record is from RNAcentral.